RNAcentral lists this long non-coding RNA (1932 nucleotides) under Salmo salar (Atlantic salmon). RNAcentral's name for it is "lncRNA (ENSSSAG00000104852.1)". The record is from RNAcentral. Lineage: Eukaryota; Metazoa; Chordata; Actinopteri; Salmoniformes; Salmonidae.
GGGAAAUAUUUACGCAAAAAUUGAACGUCCACAGAAAAGAUUCUGCAACAGGCUGACAUUCAAUUAAAGCGCAUUUUGUUUUUUUUGGUGGAAAAAGUUUAAUGCACUUUGAUUGAAUUCUGGCCUAGGUUUUAUCUUACAAACACUGUACAGUUGGAUAAUAAUACUCGACUGACCUGCUUCCAUUUAGAAAGAAACUCAAACCAAACCCAAAACAGCUACUCUCAAAACGUAUCACUUCUGCACAUGGCUUAAAGAAAGUUUAUACACUUUUGUUUUUAUUUUCUCUAGUGUCUUUUACAUUUUUUACAAUCAAGUUUGGUUUGGGAGUAGAGGAAUAGGACUGUGGAGGUGGGGACACGGGACACCACUUUGUAAUUUGCUCCUGUUCCUCAAUAGAACACACGAUGAGCCAAUAAGCAAAGCCCAUGAUGUGAUGCUUGCUCUCAUUGGCAGAACUAGUGAUGUAUCUAACCACUGAUAUAGGAUCAGAUAUUUGUACACCCCCCUUAUGGUUCAAGUUAAGAUUGGGGAUGAUAAUCUGAUCCUAGAUCUGUGGUUAAGGUAAACUUUUGCCUCAAGUGUAAGUUAAGGAGUGAAUGGAAACCUACAGUAUCUGCUAAGUGUAUGGCAAUAAAUUGACAAAAUAUUGAAACGAUAAUUAAUUAAAAAACAUAUAUAUAUACUUCUGGGGUUAAAAACUUGAACACAGUUAGCCUCUCAGUACUCGUCAGUACUCAAGAAAGAAGUUUCAUUAGGCUGAGUUUACACAGGCAGCAAAAUUCUGAUCUUUAGCCUUAUUAUUGGAAAAAGAGCUGAUUUGAUUGGUCAAAAGACCAAUUAGUGGACAAAGAUCUGAAUUAGGCUGCCUGUGUAAACGCAGCCUUUUAGACACAGAUCUAGCAUCAUAAUACCCUCUCUAAAUCCUAACCUUUACCAUUAGAGGGAAAACACAAGACUGAUCUUAGAUCAGUAUAUAGGGGCAACUUAAUCCACAAAUCGACACAGCUGGAGUUUUGGCCUAUAGAAAACCCACUGACCAAGAACUCAAAACCAAAGCAGUAACACUGUUGAUCGAUAACCGUCGCUAGAGUGGGAGUGUAUGUAGCCUAUGCUUUAGCUCAGUGGGCUAACACAGUCUUGUGGCAUUGCAGAUGAUCCGGGUUUAAACACAGUGGGUACAUAUGCAGCAUGUACCACCAACCUGCUCAGUGUUUCAAUGCCAUGUUCACAAAAACACAAUGUCUUGUGGAAACACUGACAUUACCGUUGACCCAAGGUUUCAGGAAGGGGCCAUCCCCAUUGUGAUACUUAGCAAGUCAGUGGCAAGUCAGCCACUAUAUGGCUAACAAACACACCGUGUAUAGCCACAGUGGUUUAGUGAUGGGUAACCAUGCCUGAGACCUGAAGACUUGUAUUAGCUUCCACGGCUAAUGGCUAGGCUUUAGCUGAGAGGGCUAACACAUCUUGUAUCACACGGACGACCCAGGUUUUACACCAGAUUGGUCACACAUACACCCCCACCUCACUCCUUACCCUCAUGUACCUUAUACCCCUCACUCCACAGCACACAGAUACAUGCGAUCAAUCAAUCGAUUAAUCAAUGAAUCAACAAAUCAUAGAUUCACUAAAAUACAUGCUAUACAUCAGCCUAUGACUUCAUGUAGGCGACUGUGGAUUCCUAUUAAGAUAAUUGUCCUAAUCCCUUUUUCAAUUAAAUCUGCCAUCUCCACUUGAGUGUCACUAUCUCUGUGGGUGAGUAAGUAACCAGGCCAGACAGGUGUGUGUUGGGUUGGUAGACAGGUGUACCAGGUGGGACAGGUGUGUGUUGGGUUGGUAGACAGGUGUACCAGGUGGGACAGGUGUGUGUUGGGUUGGUAGACAGGUGUACCAGGUGGGACAGGUGUGUGUUGGGUUGGUAGACAGGUGUAC